GACGAACGCUGGCGGCGUGCUUAACACAUGCAAGUCGAACGGAAAGGCCCUGCUUUUGUGGGGUGCUCGAGUGGCGAACAGGUGAGUAACACGUGAGUAACCUGCCCUUGACUUUGGGAUAACUUCAGGAAACUGGGGCUAAUACCGGAUAGGAGCUCCUGCUGCAUGGUGGGGGUUGGAAAGUUUCGGCGGUUGGGGAUGGACUCGCGGCUUAUCAGCUUGUUGGUGGGGUAGUGGCUUACCAAGGCUUUGACGGGUAGCCGGCCUGAGAGGGUGACCGGCCACAUUGGGACUGAGAGACGGCCCAGACUCCUACGGGAGGCAGCAGUGGGGAAUAUUGCACAAUGGGCGGAAGCCUGAUGCAGCAACGCCGCGUGCGGGAUGACGGCCUUCGGGUUGUAAACCGCUUUCGCCUGUGACGAAGCGUGAGUGACGGUAAUGGGUAAAGAAGCACCGGCUAACUACGUG
This 468-nucleotide ribosomal RNA is filed under the name uncultured bacterium. Its description in RNAcentral is "partial 16S ribosomal RNA". It matches the Rfam family "Bacterial small subunit ribosomal RNA", at positions 28 to 507 of the family's 1533-position model. The record is from RNAcentral.